RNAcentral lists this long non-coding RNA (1457 nucleotides) under Equus caballus (horse). Its description in RNAcentral is "lncRNA (ENSECAG00000049417.1)". The record is from RNAcentral. Lineage: Eukaryota; Metazoa; Chordata; Mammalia; Perissodactyla; Equidae.
GUGGGUUUCCCUGGUGAACCCAGCCCUGCACCUCCUCAGGAGCUACUUGCUGAAGGAAAGCAAGAACCAGACUGACUCCUUUAACUUUCAUUUUACAUUAACUACUGUAACUUUAAAUUCUGGAUAAAGACCUCAAAUGGGCACUCGACCAUGGCCAGGACUCCUACGGUGCUUCUAUAGGCUGUGCACUCAUCCAUUCUUCAAGAUCGUUAUUUCACACCUUCGCCGCCUCCAAGUGCCCGCACCUGCUCUCUGCUCUGCUACUGACCUCAUCUUAUUAUCAUGAAGAAAGUGGAGGCCCUCAGAGUGGAGAACCUGAUCUUCCCACCAACCUGCUCUCUGAAUCUGCUCCCCUCUGCCCAUCAGAGUUUUACAGAAAGCUGAAACAGUCUGAAGAGAACAUCCACAGGUGCACACGGCUGAAUCGACCCGAUACUUGUACCUGUGUCCAGCCUGCUGUCCUGUUAACUCAGGUUAUUCCCAGCAGCCUACAAAUAUGCAUCACUUCUUCUGUGGAAAACAACAGCAACACGAUUCUUCACUCUGGGAGACCAGCUGCAUGUCCAGAAGACACUUGAGAAGCCCUGUGAAGAAGUCCAUGUGGGGAGAAGCCGAGGCCUCUUGCUCACAGCCAGUGAGGAGUUGAGGCCACAAGAGUGAAAGUGGGUCCUCCCACCCAACUCUAGCCUUCAGAUGAUGCAGCCCCAGCUGCCAUCUUGACGGCAGCCUCACGAGAGCUGUGCAGUAGAACCACCCAGCUAAGGUGCCAGAACACCUGCCUUACAGGAACUGCAAUAGAAGACAUGCUUGCUAUUUUACACUGCUAAGUUUUAUGAUCCUGGACUCCUUUCUACCAACGACUACUGUUAUAGACCAAAUUGCAGCCCCUCAAAUUCCUACGCUGAGGUCCUAACACAUAUGCGACUAUAUUUGGAGACAGGGCCUUCAAGGAGGUGACUAGGGCUAAAGGAGGUCAUAAGAGUUGGGUCCUGAUCCAAUAGGACUUAUGUCCUUAUAAGAAGAGACAGAGACUCCAGAGAUCUCCCUUUCUCUACUCACACAGAGAAGAGGCCCUGUGAGGACACACCAAGAGAGUGGCCUCCGGGGCAGGAAGAACGGAACUUGCCGGCACCUUGAGCUUGGACUUCUAACCUUCGAAACUGUGAGAAAAUUCAUUUCUGUUGUUUAAGUCACCCAGCCUGUGGUUUUCUGUUAUGGCGGCCCAAGUAGACAGCCAAAAUUUCAUGUGAACCUUCUGAAGGCACCAGGACGUCAUGAAAACACCAUUUCCCCCUUCAUUCAUCCCACUAGCUUCAGAUCAAUAAAGAGCUAUUAAUGUUUCUUCAUACCGCAUCCUGCCUACCAGCGAGAUGUGUGCAUGUGCGUGUGUAUCUGGAAACAGUCACAUACAAACUCAAAUCUCUCUGUUUUUACAACGAUAGCUAAACUAAUUGAGC